AACGGCUUGUCGGAGUGCCGGGUGGUCGAUGCGUCGCGUCACCGGCUGAGAUCGCAGCGCUGCGAAAUCCGCUGAACCUGAUCGGGGUCAUGCCCGCGUAGGAAACCAAGACGCCGGGCUGU
Regulatory RNA element from Thiomonas delicata, 122 nucleotides. It matches the Rfam family "TPP riboswitch aptamer (THI element)". Rfam says of the family: Vitamin B(1) in its active form thiamin pyrophosphate (TPP) is an essential coenzyme that is synthesised by coupling of pyrimidine and thiazole moieties in bacteria. The previously detected thiamin-regulatory element, thi box was extended, resulting in a new, highly conserved RNA secondary structure, the THI element, which is widely distributed in eubacteria and also occurs in some archaea. Analysis of operon structures identified a large number of new candidate thiamin-regulated genes, mostly transporters, in various prokaryotic organisms. NCBI's taxonomy places the organism in Bacteria, Pseudomonadati, Pseudomonadota, Betaproteobacteria, Burkholderiales. The record is from Rfam.